UAGGGAAUCUUCCACAAUGGGCGAAAGCCUGAUGGAGCAACGCCGCGUGUGUGAUGAAGGGUUUCGGCUCGUAAAACACUGUUGUAAGAGAAGAAUGACAUUGAGAGUAACUGUUCAAUGUGUGACGGUAUCUUACCGGAAAGGAACGGCUAAAUACGUGCCAG
Molecule: ribosomal RNA, 164 nt
Filed under: uncultured bacterium
Lineage: Bacteria
Description: partial 16S ribosomal RNA
Rfam family: Bacterial small subunit ribosomal RNA
Source: RNAcentral